GACGAACGCUGGCGGCGUGCUUAACACAUGCAAGCCGAACGGAAAGGCCUGCUUUCCCUUGUGGAUUGCGGGUACUCGAGUGGCGAACGGGUGAGUAACACGUGAGUGAUCUGCCCCCAACUUGGGUAUAAGCCUGGGAAACUGGGUCUAAUUCCCGAUAGGACUGCAGGGUGGUUCCUGUGGUGGAAAACGAUUUUCUAGUGGUUGGGGAUGAGCUCGCGGCCUAUCAGCUUGUUGGUGGGGUAAUGGCCUACCAAGGCGGCGACGGGUAGCCGGCCUGAGAGGGUGGACGGCCACAUUGGGACUGAGAUACGGCCCAGACUCCUACGGGAGGCAGCAGUGGGGAAUAUUACACAAUGGGCGGAAGCCUGAUGCAGCGACGCCGCGUGGGGGAUGACGGCCUUCGGGUUGUAAACUCCUUUCGACCGCGAGGAAGCCACCUGGUUGGAAGGGUGGUGACGGUAGUGGUAGAAGAAGCACCGGCUAACUACGUG
RNAcentral lists this ribosomal RNA (494 nucleotides) under uncultured bacterium. RNAcentral describes it as "partial 16S ribosomal RNA". It matches the Rfam family "Bacterial small subunit ribosomal RNA", at positions 28 to 507 of the family's 1533-position model. The record is from RNAcentral.